AGGUUAAGUUAGAAAGGGCGCACGGUGAAUGCCUUGGCACUAGGAGCCGAUGAAGGACGGUACUAACACCGAUAUGCUUCGGGGAGCUGUAAGUAAGCUUUGAUCCGGAGAUUUCCGAAUGGGGAAACCCCCUAUCCGUAAUGGGAUAGGAUCUUUACCUGAAUACAUAGGGUAUAGAAGGCAGACCCGGGGAACUGAAACAUCUAAGUACCCGGAGGAAGAGAAAGCAAACGCGAUUCCCUGAGUAGCGGCGAGCGAAACGGGAUUAGCCCAAACCAAGAGGCUUGCCUCUUGGGGUUGUAGGACACUCUACACGGAGUUACAAAGGAACGAGGUAAAUGAACAGGUCUGGAAAGGCCGGCCAGAGAAGGUAAAAGCCCUGUAGUUGAAACUUCGUUCCCUCCAGAGUGGAUCCUGAGUACGGCGGGACACGAGAAAUCCCGUCGGAAGCAGGGAGGACCAUCUCCCAAGGCUAAAUACUCCCUAGUGACCGAUAGUGAACCAGUACCGUGAGGGAAAGGUGAAAAGCACCCCGGAAGGGGAGUGAAAGAGAUCCUGAAACCGUGUGCCUACAAGUAGUUAGAGCCCGUUAAUGGGUGAUAGCGUGCCUUUUGUAGAAUGAACCGGCGAGUUACGAUUACAUGCGAGGUUAAGUUGAUGAGACGGAGCCGCAGCGAAAGCGAGUCUGAAUAGGGCGAAUGAGUAUGUGGUCGUAGACCCGAAACCAGGUGAUCUACCCAUGUCCAGGGUGAAGUCCAGGUAACACUGGAUGGAGGCCCGAACCCACGCACGUUGAAAAGUGCGGGGAUGAGGUGUGGGUAGCGGAGAAAUUCCAAUCGAACUUGGAGAUAGCUGGUUCUCUCCGAAAUAGCUUUAGGGCUAGCCUCAUGUAGUAAGAGUCUUGGAGGUAGAGCACUGUUUGGACUAGGGGCCCCCAUCGGGUUACCGAAUUCAGACAAACUCCGAAUGCCAAAGACUUAUCCAUGGGAGUCAGACUGCGAGUGAUAAGAUCCGUAGUCAAGAGGGAAACAGCCCAGACCACCAGCUAAGGUCCCAAAGUAUACGUUAAGUGGAAAAGGAUGUGGAGUUGCUUAGACAACCAGGAUGUUGGCUUAGAAGCAGCCACCAUUUAAAGAGUGCGUAAUAGCUCACUGGUCGAGUGACUCCGCGCCGAAAAUGUACCGGGGCUAAACGUAUCACCGAAGCUGUGGA
RNAcentral lists this ribosomal RNA (1212 nucleotides) under Escherichia coli. RNAcentral's name for it is "partial 23S ribosomal RNA". It matches the Rfam family "Bacterial large subunit ribosomal RNA", at positions 1 to 1206 of the family's 2925-position model. Lineage: Bacteria; Pseudomonadati; Pseudomonadota; Gammaproteobacteria; Enterobacterales; Enterobacteriaceae. The record is from RNAcentral.